This is a non-coding RNA of Brassica napus (rape), 167 nucleotides long. Lineage: Eukaryota; Viridiplantae; Streptophyta; Magnoliopsida; Brassicales; Brassicaceae. The record is from Rfam.
UUGCACCUUGUAUCGAAUGUCAUGCCUCGUUCUGGUGGCAUGGCUAUUUUUCGAGGAUGCAUAAAGUGAUGGCUGUUGAAUCAGCAAGCGGCCAGACAACCGUUGGGAUAGAUCCACAGGUGAUUCAGAUUUUAUCUGUUUUCAGCUACUAAAUCUAUCCUACAAUU